AUUUAUAUAGUUUAAAUAAAACAUUACAUUUUCAUUGUAAAAAUAAAAAAAAAUUUUUUUAUAAAUA
This 67-nucleotide transfer RNA is filed under the name Corcyra cephalonica (rice moth). RNAcentral's name for it is "tRNA-Glu". Lineage: Eukaryota; Metazoa; Arthropoda; Insecta; Lepidoptera; Pyralidae. The record is from RNAcentral.